AGGGAGAUAGCUUAAUUGGUAGAGUGCUUGCCUUGCAUGCAUGAGGCCCUGGGUUCAAUCCCCAGCUUCCCAC
Molecule: transfer RNA, 73 nt
Filed under: Ictidomys tridecemlineatus (thirteen-lined ground squirrel)
Lineage: Eukaryota; Metazoa; Chordata; Mammalia; Rodentia; Sciuridae
Description: Spermophilus tridecemlineatus (thirteen-lined ground squirrel) tRNA
Rfam family: tRNA
About the family: Transfer RNA (tRNA) molecules are approximately 80 nucleotides in length. Their secondary structure includes four short double-helical elements and three loops (D, anti-codon, and T loops). Further hydrogen bonds mediate the characteristic L-shaped molecular structure. tRNAs have two regions of fundamental functional importance: the anti-codon, which is responsible for specific mRNA codon recognition, and the 3' end, to which the tRNAs corresponding amino acid is attached (by aminoacyl-tRNA synthetases). tRNAs cope with the degeneracy of the genetic code in two manners: having more than one tRNA (with a specific anti-codon) for a particular amino acid; and 'wobble' base-pairing, i.e. permitting non-standard base-pairing at the 3rd anti-codon position.
Source: Rfam by way of RNAcentral